RNAcentral lists this ribosomal RNA (497 nucleotides) under uncultured bacterium. RNAcentral's name for it is "partial 16S ribosomal RNA". It matches the Rfam family "Bacterial small subunit ribosomal RNA", at positions 28 to 507 of the family's 1533-position model. The record is from RNAcentral.
GAUGAACGCUGGCGGCGUGCCUAAUACAUGCAAGUCGAGCGAACAGACGAGGAGCUUGCUCCUCUGACGUUAGCGGCGGACGGGUGAGUAACACGUGGAUAACCUACCUAUAAGACUGGGAUAACUUCGGGAAACCGGAGCUAAUACCGGAUAAUAUAUUGAACCGCAUGGUUCAAUAGUGAAAGACGGUUUUGCUGUCACUUAUAGAUGGAUCCGCGCCGCAUUAGCUAGUUGGUAAGGUAACGGCUUACCAAGGCAACGAUGCGUAGCCGACCUGAGAGGGUGAUCGGCCACACUGGAACUGAGGCACGGUCCAGACUCCCAAGGGAGGCAACAGUAGGGAAUCUUCCGGAAUGGGCGGAAGCCUGACGGAGCAACGCCGGGUGAGUGAAGAAGGUCUUCGGAUCGGAAAACUCUGUUAUUAGGGAAGAACAAAUGUGUAAGUAACUAUGCACGUCUUGACGGUACCUAAUCAGAAAGCCACGGCUAACUACGUG